This 494-nucleotide ribosomal RNA is filed under the name uncultured bacterium. RNAcentral's name for it is "partial 16S ribosomal RNA". It matches the Rfam family "Bacterial small subunit ribosomal RNA", at positions 28 to 507 of the family's 1533-position model. The record is from RNAcentral.
GACGAACGCUGGCGGCGCGCUUAACACAUGCAAGUCGAACGGAAAGGCCUGCUUUCCCUUGUGGAUUGCGGGUACUCGAGUGGCGAACGGGUGAGUAACACGUGAGUGAUCUGCCCCCAACUUGGGUAUAAGCCUGGGAAACUGGGUCUAAUUCCCGAUAGGACUGCAGGGUGGUGCCUGUGGUGGAAAACGAUUUUCUAGUGGUUGGGGAUGAGCUCGCGGCCUAUCAGCUUGUUGGUGGGGUAAUGGCCUACCAAGGCGGCGACGGGUAGCCGGCCUGAGAGGGUGGACGGCCACAUUGGGACUGAGAUACGGCCCAGACGCCUACGGGAGGCAGCAGUGGGGAAUAUGGCACAAUGGGCGGAAGCCUGAUGCAGCGACGCCGCGUGGGCGAUGACGGCCUUCGGGUUGUAAACUCCUUUCGACCGCGAGGAAGCCACCUGGUUGGAAGGGUGGUGACGGUAGUGGUAGAAGAAGCACCGGCUAACUACGUG